Non-coding RNA from Mauremys mutica (yellowpond turtle), 420 nucleotides. Lineage: Eukaryota; Metazoa; Chordata; Testudines; Geoemydidae. The record is from the annotation of a RefSeq genome assembly.
AUGAACGGUGUCCUGUCUGAGGUUGUCCUGACGCAGUCAGGUCCAGACGUGAGGAAGCCAGGCGAGUCCACUAUUCUGAAAUGUGCUGUGACGGGGGCCGAUCACAGCACAUCUAUCAUGACUUGGAUAAGACAAGCUCCGGGGAAGGGACUGGAGUGGUUGGUUUACUACUAUUCCCAGUCUCGCAUCUUCUACUCGCCUGCCAUGCAGGGGCGAUUCUCCGCUUCCAUGGACAGCUCCAGCUUGGAUCUGCAGAUGUACAGCCUGAAAGAGGAAGACACCGCUGUGUAUUACUGUGUGAGACUAGGCACGUCCACAGUGCUGCAGCCCCUUACAAAUACCCUGCAGCACAGAAACGUGCCUUCCCCUAGUGUCCCCAGGCCUCCACUCGCUGCCUCGAACGCCUCCCCGGGGCCCUGA